GAAACUUCGGAAUAUUACUAAUUUUGUGAUGCUCUUUCAAGCUGUGAUGAAAUUUUUGUCUAGAUCAAAAUUUAGUCUAUAAUGCAAAUGGUCCAUUACGCCUAGCUAGACAAUUCUGCAUGCUGACCUAUAUUUUUUCCUCCAGUGAUGGUGCUGGAAGAAGUGGAACCUACAUCGCAAUUUCUAAUCUUGUGGACAGAGUGAAAGUUGUUCAAGUCAUUGACGUCUUUCAAUGUGUUAAACUGAUCCGCACCAAGCGUCCACAGUUUGUUGAAACAGCUGUAAGUUAUGAUAUUUAAUGAGAUAGUUAAUUAAUGAGAAGGUAUUCACAGACGUUAAAGGAAACUGUCAAUGUAAUACAAUUUUACUUUCCGCCGGCCAUCUUUACGGCUGUUUUUCAUACGUGCGUAUACGCACGGAAUAGCUUAAAUCCUUUUAAAUUUUACUUAUAAGAUAACCUAUUGAAUAAAAGGAUAGAAUUUAGUUUUGUGUCUGAUUUAAUGUGUAUUUGUUGAGGUAAUUAGUACUAAUAGAGAGGUUUAGCAAAGACGACGUGACGUCAAAGACGACGUGAAAAUGGCGUGGGCACAUCCAUAGAUGGGCAGGCAUAUCACGCCAUUUUCACGUCGUCUUUGACGUCGCGUCGCCUCUCUAAAGGCUGAUUUCCACUGUUGCGUUUUUCAUACGUAUGUAUACGCACGUAAAACUUUAAAUCCGUUUAAAUGUUACUUAUGAAAUAACCAAAUAGAUAAAGCAACAGAAUUUAGUGUUCCGCAAGUUUUAGUAUGCAUUUGUUAACUUUUUUGUAAAAUAUUUCAAAAAUAGAAGGAUUCAAAGUUUUACGUGCGUGUACGCGCGUACGAAAAACGCAACAGUGGAAAUCAGCCUUAAUACAGAAUUUAGAACUUUUCAAUGGGUACACGGACGGGUGAAAAACGCUUAACGGGAAAGCGGCCUCUAAUCCAAUUAACUUACAGUGGGUCACCUUAAGUUGCAUUGUGCCGUGUACUUUAUUAGUUUACUCUAGCUAGCUGUCUAAUGCCGGACAAUUUUACUUGUUAAUUGUGCUUUUUACUUCUCAGGCUCAAUUUAAGCUGUGCUAUGAUGCAGUUAGAAGUGUGUUGAGAUCAUUCGAAGAAUAUUCAAACUUUACAUCCGACCUCCAAAAUUAUAGUACUUCAUUCGUUGGGUGACAUUCUUAUCUGAAACUGGCAAUGAAGCUGUGAAAUUGUAUGAAUAUGCUCACAUAUCUUCUACUAAUUAACAUGGUAUUCUACUAAGCAUUUGUAGAUCAUUAAUUAAAUAGAAGUGUUAUUACUAGUAUGUUAGGUUAAGUCUGACAGCGGUAAGCACUGCUACUGUCUGGGUAUGAAGGAGUAAACCAUAAAUACAAAAGUAUUGUAGCUUAGAAAGAAGUAAAAGUGUUCUCCCGUUGAAAACUAUUGUGGAUUAGUAUAUCAUAGAGAUUGUAUAUAGAAAUUAUAUUGUACGCAAAAUGGACACAUGGGGUAUAUAGUUUCACUUUAAUUUAACUUGUAAAAUAACCUGUAAUAAUUUUCAAUGUGUCAUAACAAUACUCGGUGUUUAUUUUUACAGUAGUUUACCAUAAACAGAUCUAAAGUGAUAGAGCUAAAAGAGUGUUUGUUUACUUUGUUAUUUUGGUUUUUGUCCAAUUUUAAAAGCACCUCGGACUUCCUGCUGUAGUUUAUGAAUAAAUUUAUCCUAUUUUGUGCCGCUACAUCGAUUCCAUCUUCCGCUUUCACAUCUCACACUGACACGAAGACAUUCGUAUACAUCUUACUGCUGCCAAUGUAAAGCUUUUCUCAGACUCAGUUAAGAUGACGUUAUCUAAAUGUUGUAUGUGGGGUUUCCUGAAAUUCAUUGUAUUUUCCUUGUAUUUGCAGGGUAAGUGGUAAAACUAAUCGUUGAUGACAUACGCAAUUGAAUUAAUCCCGAUGUAGACUUAGUCGCAGUAAACCUGCAUUUCACGAGGGGAAAUGUACAUAUUAGCCAUGAAAGUUUUCUAUCAUACGGGUAUACAUAAUUAUACAGGGUAUAUAUAAAAAAAGGAGACUUUAGAAAUUAACCUUGUUAUAAUUUGAAUGCUAUAAUCACUACGCUGAACACAAGUGUGUGUAAACACAAUUGAAUUGAAUUUUGAAUUACUAGGAAC
RNAcentral lists this long non-coding RNA (2173 nucleotides) under Paramuricea clavata. Lineage: Eukaryota; Metazoa; Cnidaria; Anthozoa; Malacalcyonacea; Plexauridae. The record is from RNAcentral.